AAACUUUCAACAACGGAUCUCUUGGUUCUGGCAUCGAUGAAAGAACGCAGCGAAAUGCGAUAAGUAAUGUGAAUUGCAGAAUUCAGUGAAUCAUCGAAUCUUUGAACGCACAUUGCGCCCCUUGGUAUUCCGGGGGGCAUGCCUGUUCGAGCGUCAUUA
Molecule: ribosomal RNA, 159 nt
Filed under: Kellermania yuccigena
Lineage: Eukaryota; Fungi; Ascomycota; Dothideomycetes; Botryosphaeriales; Planistromellaceae
Description: 5.8S ribosomal RNA
Rfam family: 5.8S ribosomal RNA
About the family: 5.8S ribosomal RNA (5.8S rRNA) is a component of the large subunit of the eukaryotic ribosome. It is transcribed by RNA polymerase I as part of the 45S precursor that also contains 18S and 28S rRNA. Functionally, it is thought that 5.8S rRNA may be involved in ribosome translocation.
Source: RNAcentral